Molecule: long non-coding RNA, 302 nt
Organism: Mastomys coucha (southern multimammate mouse)
Lineage: Eukaryota; Metazoa; Chordata; Mammalia; Rodentia; Muridae
Exons: 2
Source: RefSeq, a predicted model, not a curated record
AUGUACAAUGGAGACCUAUUUAAGUCUUUCUCUCAGAGCUCUACUCAAUGGGGACAUCUUUAGGGGCUCCCUCAUUCAGCACUGGUUGGAUUCUAAUGCUAAUGAACUCUUCUGAAAGAGGGAUCCUGUUUUUGCACAGGGCAAAACAACACUCUUUUCAGUGGGAGCCUUAGUGUACCUGAGCAAAUGAUCGAUCGAAUAUACUUCAGACACCCAGUGAAGAGGAUUGCUGGAUACAGGAGGGGUUGGCUCAAAGGAACAGAACUCUUUUGACAAAUACAGACAGCUUCAGAUCCACUCCA